This 71-nucleotide transfer RNA is filed under the name Loxodonta africana (African savanna elephant). It matches the Rfam family "tRNA". From Rfam's summary of the family: Transfer RNA (tRNA) molecules are approximately 80 nucleotides in length. Lineage: Eukaryota; Metazoa; Chordata; Mammalia; Proboscidea; Elephantidae. The record is from Rfam by way of RNAcentral.
GCAUUGAUGGUUUACUGGUAGAAUUCUCACCUUCCGUGUGGGAGACCCAGGUUCGAUUCCUGGCCAAGGCA